UACAGAGGGGGCCAGCGUUAUUCGGAAUUAUUGGGCGUAAAGGGCGCGUAGGCGGCCAUGCGUGUCUUCCGUGAAAUCCCUCGGCUUAACUGGGAGGGUGCGGCGAAAACUGGAAUGCUAGAGGAUGGGAGAGGUAAGCGGAAUUCCUGGUGUAGCGGUGAAAUGCGUAGAUAUCAGGAGGAACACCUGUGGUGUAGACAGCUUACUGGACCAUUUCUGACGCUGAGACACGAAAGCGUGGGUAGCAAACAGG
Molecule: ribosomal RNA, 253 nt
Filed under: uncultured bacterium
Lineage: Bacteria
Description: partial 16S ribosomal RNA
Rfam family: Bacterial small subunit ribosomal RNA
Source: RNAcentral